GCAAGUCGAACGGCAGACGAGGAGCUUGCUCCUUGGUGGCGAGUGGCGGACGGGUGAGUAAUACUUAGGAAUCUAUCCAGUAGUUGGGGAUAACGUGUGGAAACGCACGCUAAUACCGAAUACGCACUACGGUGGAAAGGAGGGGAUCUUCGGACCUUCCACUAUUGGGUGAGCCUAAGCCGGAUUAGCUAGUUGGUGGGGUAAGGGCCUACCAAGGCGACGAUCCGUAGCUGGUCUGAGAGGACGAUC
RNAcentral lists this ribosomal RNA (249 nucleotides) under uncultured bacterium. Its description in RNAcentral is "partial 16S ribosomal RNA". It matches the Rfam family "Bacterial small subunit ribosomal RNA", at positions 57 to 305 of the family's 1533-position model. The record is from RNAcentral.